This 495-nucleotide ribosomal RNA is filed under the name uncultured Helotiales. RNAcentral's name for it is "eukaryotic LSU rRNA". The stretch from base 133 to 286 matches the Rfam family "5.8S ribosomal RNA". Lineage: Eukaryota; Fungi; Ascomycota; Leotiomycetes; Helotiales. The record is from RNAcentral.
UACAGAGAUCGUGCCCUUCGGGGUAGACCUCCCACCCUGUGUUAUUUACCUUUGUUGCUUUGGCGGGCUCGCCCGCCAGAGAAUUAUUCACCCUGUGUUUAGUGUUGUCCGAGUAAAUAUAUAAUAAGUUAAAACUUUCAACAACGGAUCUCUUGGUUCUGGCAUCGAUGAAGAACGCAGCGAAAUGCGAUAAGUAAUGUGAAUUGCAGAAUUCAGUGAAUCAUCGAAUCUUUGAACGCACAUUGCGCCCCUGGGUAUUCCUGGGGGCAUGCCUGUCCGAGCGUCAUUUCAACCCUCAAGCACAGCUUGGUCUUGGGCCAUGCCGGGAACGGCCGGCCUUAAAACUAGUGGCGGUGCCGCCGGGCUCUACGCGUAGUAGUUAUUUCUCGCGUUUGGGUCUCGGCGGACGCUGGCCAGCAACCCCCAAUUUUCUAUGGUUGACCUCGGAUCAGGUAGGGAUACCCGCUGAACUUAAGCAUAUCAAUAAGCGGAGGA